AUUGAACGCUGGCGACAUGCCUUACACAUGCAAGUCGAACGGCAGCACGGGUGCUUGCACCUGGUGGCGAGUGGCGAACGGGUGAGUAAUACAUCGGAACAUGUCCUGUAGUGGGGGAUAGCCCGGCGAAAGCCGGAUUAAUACCGCAUACGAUCUACGGAUGAAAGCGGGGGACCUUCGGGCCUCGCGCUAUAGGGUUGGCCGAUGGCUGAUUAGCUAGUUGGUGGGGUAAAGGCCUACCAAGGCGACGAUCAGUAGCUGGUCUGAGAGGACGACCAGUCACACUGGGACUGAGACACGGCCCAGACUCCUACGGGAGGCAGCAGUGGGGAAUUUUGGACAAUGGGCGAAAGCCUGAUCCAGCAAUGCCGCGUGUGUGAAGAAGGCCUUCGGGUUGUAAAGCACCUUUGUCCGGAAAGAAAUCCUUGGCCCUAAUACGGUCGGGGGAUGACGGUACCGGAAGAAUAAGCACCGGCUAACUACGUG
RNAcentral lists this ribosomal RNA (486 nucleotides) under uncultured bacterium. RNAcentral describes it as "partial 16S ribosomal RNA". It matches the Rfam family "Bacterial small subunit ribosomal RNA", at positions 30 to 507 of the family's 1533-position model. The record is from RNAcentral.